UGGACGAAGUCUUUCCNAGCACGCCGCGUGAGUGAUGAACGUUUUCGGAUCGUAAAGCUCUGUUGUUAGGGAAGAACAAGUGCCGUUCAAAUAGGGCGGCACCUUGACGGUACCUAACCAGAAAGCCACGGCUAACUACGUGCCAGCAGCCGCGGUAAUACGNAGGUGGCAAGCGUUGUCCGGAAUUAUUGGGCGUAAAGGGCUCNCAGGCGGUUUCUUAAGUCUGAUGUGAAAGCCCCCGGCUCAACCGGGGAGGGUCAUUGGAAACUGGGGAACUUGAGUGCAGAAGAGGAGAGUGGAAUUCCACGUGUAGCGGUGAAANGCGUAGAGAUGUGGAGGAACACCAGUGGCGAAGGCGACUCUCUGGUCUGUAACUGACGCUGAGGAGCGAAAGCGUGGGGNGCGAACAGGAUUANAUACCCUGGUAGUCCACGCCGUAAACGAUGAGUGCUAAGUGUUAGGGGGUUUCCGCCCCUUAGUGCUGCANCUAACGCAUUAAAGCACUCCGCCUGGGGAUUACGGUCGCAAGACUGAACUCAAANGAAAUUGACNGGGGCCCC
Molecule: ribosomal RNA, 560 nt
Filed under: Bacillus subtilis
Lineage: Bacteria; Bacillati; Bacillota; Bacilli; Caryophanales; Bacillaceae
Description: bacterial SSU rRNA
Rfam family: Bacterial small subunit ribosomal RNA
Source: RNAcentral